GGGGUGGCCGCAGGUCGCCGUUCAAUAAUACGUAAUGUAUAGACUUUUGAGUAUACCAAUCUCCCUGUUUCUGUAGGUUCACCUGAGAUUUAUCUGGUCUUUCGGGGCUUAAAAGGGAGACAGUCCCAAAGACGUGAGUAAUUCUGACCUGUAGAGGAUUCCAUGGGAAGUCUUCUACAAGCCCCGAAGGAAGGGAAUCUCUCUCCUCAUACCUUGAGUUUCCUGAGUACAAUUAUUAUAGAUAUACGAAGAUCUCUAUGCUCAUGGGGAAUUUGUGGUUAGAUAUGAAGCUAAUUCAUCUCUGUUUGGGAACAGGUCAAGGGAUUUGUACAGCCCUAUAGGAGACACCUCCAGAGAAAGUAACAACUCUCAGUUGAUUAGCUGAGAAUAAACAGAUGCUUUUACAGCUCGCAUUGGUGGGAAGAUCUGGCACAAAUGAAGUAUCUAUAAGGAGCAGCAGAGUCAAGGUGGUGAUCCUGUGGAAGAA
RNAcentral lists this long non-coding RNA (487 nucleotides) under Pongo abelii (Sumatran orangutan). RNAcentral's name for it is "lincRNA". The record is from RNAcentral. Lineage: Eukaryota; Metazoa; Chordata; Mammalia; Primates; Hominidae.